RNAcentral lists this long non-coding RNA (624 nucleotides) under Triticum aestivum (bread wheat). RNAcentral describes it as "long non-coding RNA (TAES_LNC007839)". Lineage: Eukaryota; Viridiplantae; Streptophyta; Magnoliopsida; Poales; Poaceae. The record is from RNAcentral.
UCGGACGGUGGCGCGGGCUGUGCCGUGGUUGCAGCGGGUGGCGGCUCGCCGGAGCUCAACAGGCUCCGCGAUCUCGAGGCCAAGCCCCAGGUUGACGCCCUUUUCUCUCUUUGCCGGGAGGUCGAAUUUCUGACGUCAUACUGCUGAACCCAUCGAUGUAAGCGUGUUGCGUUGUCAUGCACAGAAGCUGGUGCUGGAUGGAGGGGUUGCAAACGGGGAAGAGUACAUGGAGACGCAGUACUAGGAUGGGGUCAACUGCAUCGACAAGCAGCAUCACACGGUAAGAUUAGAUUGGAGCCCUUGAUGUUUUUUGUGCGAUUAUGUAGUUUGUAGACGCGACUUGUUUAUCUGCAGGCAUUUCAUGUCUACUGCUGUGUUCUCUAAGUAUGAUUUGUGCUCCAGGACGCCUUAUGGAAUCAACUAGUAACCUCUCACUGCGAGCUUGAGCUUUAGUUCAUAGUAAUAGCGUGUAAACUGUUGAUUGUAGACACAAAUGCUAGAUCUAGAGCAGGUCCAUCAUUGAGUUCUGCUAGAAUUGGCUGGCUAACACAAGCACUGGAGUAAGCUAGAUCAAGUAAGCCCAAUGCCAUUGCAAAGAGGUGUAACUUGGAAAAAAAAAUCACC